AUGGGCACUGGAGGAGGGGGCGCCCUCCAGCUGCCAGCCGCACCCCUCCCAGCCCCGUGGCCGCCCCGCUGCCCAACGCAGAGGCAGCCAAGGCCGCUCCAGACCCCCCGGGGUCCCCUGAAGUCCUGUCCUGCAGGCCGCACACACCCUUGGCGCCCCAUGAGUGCAUGGCCUCCUCAGCGCCUGCAGCCCGGGGUCCAGGCCCCUCCUCCCUGCGCAGAGGGCGCCCCCUCUUCUGGCCCUGGCCCUUGGCCUCCAGGAAGGGGCCGUGGGAGGUGGUGGAGGGGUCCGGUGGCUCCGCGGGCCUUGGGAGCCUGGCCUGACACAGGAGCUGGCAAGCGCCAGGCAUUGGGACUAGGAGCAGCCUCUCCUCCCGGGGGGCGGGGGCAGGGGCUGUUCCCAAUCAGAGCAGCGGCUGCCCCUGCGGCCGGGUGCCUUGGAUGGCCACUCACCUACCAGCUGGAGCUCCCAUCGCAGCCGCCCCCUCCAUCUCCCUCUCCCUCUCCCCCUCCAGCUCCGCGGGUCCCAGGCCAUGCGGGCCGCGCGUGCCCAAACCCGCGGCCGGGCGGGGGUAGGAUUGGCCAGGUGCCCUGCACCAGCAUGGAGGUGCUGGGCGCCCCGGUGCCCAGCAAAGCUGGAGAGGCCACGGUGAAGUAUCAGCUGUGCUACCACAUGACGGCCAAGAUGUGGUGGAUGGUGAGUGGGCACCGGGCCCAUGUGGGCCGGCAUUGUGGCCCUGUGGCCGGCUCAGCUGGGCGUCUGAGGCCCCGGGGGGGGAUGUCUGUGGGCAGGCGGCCCCCGGGGGCUCCAGGCAGGGCCAGGGGCGGCUGCAUGGAGCAGGGCUGGGGCAGCUCGCUAAGCUUGGCGCCCUUCCAGAAGCUUCUAGGGACCCACGCCCCCGGCCAUUUGGGCUGGGACCACGAGAUGGGAGAGGGAGAGAUUCCGGGUCGGGCGGGGGCCGUGGGGCUAGGCUGGGGGUCGGGAGAGGCCCAGGCUGUCAACCCAGGGACUCGGAGCCUGCGGCCGGGGGCCAGGUCUCGUCCCCCUUUGGGAAGCGGCCUGGGUCUCACGGCCGUGGCUCCAGGGCCCUGUCCCCUGCAGCUGCUGGGAGGGGGUGGGGGUCCCCAGUCCCUGGUGCCGAGUUCUGGGGUCAGCUGCAGCUCUUGGUCUCCCCUUGGCCAGCAUUUAUCAUGUGCCUACUGUAUCCCCACGCCGUCUUGGGUGCUCAAGAGAAGGGCAGGUGUGGGCAGCGGGUGGCAGGGUCCCGCAUGGGCCUGGGUGGCCACAGAGCGGAGUCCCGGCAGCUGGCAAAAUGGACAUAAAGAAAAGGGGGCUGAGGAUAGGGCCGAUGCAAAGGCCCUGGGGCAGCACAGAGCCAGGAGGCCGGCGUGGUUGGAGUAG
This 1401-nucleotide long non-coding RNA is filed under the name Oryctolagus cuniculus (rabbit). RNAcentral's name for it is "lncRNA (ENSOCUG00000038672.1)". The record is from RNAcentral. Lineage: Eukaryota; Metazoa; Chordata; Mammalia; Lagomorpha; Leporidae.